UUUAGGUGCCUAUAUCGGUGGUGUCCACCUCUUCCCAUUCCGAACAGAGAAGUUAAGCCCACCAGAGCCGAUGGUACUGCGGUAACACGUGGGAGAGUAGGUCGGUGCCAAAUC
This 114-nucleotide ribosomal RNA is filed under the name Pedobacter heparinus. Lineage: Bacteria; Pseudomonadati; Bacteroidota; Sphingobacteriia; Sphingobacteriales; Sphingobacteriaceae. The record is from RNAcentral.